AUGAAUGUCGCGAUGGUAUGUUUAGAGAGAGAUUUGCCUAGUUGAGGACCGAUGAGCAUCAACAACUCAAGCAUCAGCUUACAACAGUUUCACAUGGUGCAGGACAAGAGACUACAAAAAGAGCCAUUGCACAGUACCAAAGAAGCUCAAAGUUAAACUGCAUAGUACCAAUCGAGCACAAGGUCAAAGAGACUAACCAGUUCCAAUGGGAUUGAUGAAAUUUCAAACCAAGACCUCCGAGGACUUGAAUUGUUUUAGGGUUUGA
This 265-nucleotide long non-coding RNA is filed under the name Monodelphis domestica (gray short-tailed opossum). RNAcentral describes it as "lncRNA (ENSMODG00000034756.2)". Lineage: Eukaryota; Metazoa; Chordata; Mammalia; Didelphimorphia; Didelphidae. The record is from RNAcentral.